CCAUCGUGAACGUUACCUACAUCGUUGCUUCGGCGGGUGGCGGGCUUCGGCCCUGCCCUCGGCCCCUCUCGGGGGCCCGCCGGAGGUACACCAAACUCUUGAAUUUACAUGGCCUCUCUGAGUCUUCUGUACUGAAUAAGUCAAAACUUUCAACAACGGAUCUCUUGGUUCUGGCAUCGAUGAAGAACGCAGCGAAAUGCGAUAAGUAAUGUGAAUUGCAGAAUUCAGUGAAUCAUCGAAUCUUUGAACGCACAUUGCGCCCGCCAGUAUUCUGGCGGGCAUGCCUGUCCGAGCGUCAUUUCAACCAUCAAGCCCCCGGCUUGUGUUGGGGACCUGCGGCACACCCGCAGGCCCUGAAAACCAGUGGCGGGCUCGCUGUCCACACCGAGCGUAGUAGCAUAUCUUUGUCUCGCUCAGGGCGUGCGGCGGGUUCCGGCCGUGAAACCCACCUUCUCGAAGCGGCGAGUGAAGCGGCAACAGCUCAAAUUUGAAAUCUGGCUUCGGCCCGAGUUGUAAUUUGCAGAGGAAGCUUUAGGCGCGGCACCUUCUGAGUCCCCUGGAACGGGGCGCCAUAGAGGGUGAGAGCCCCGUAUAGUUGGAUGCCUAGCCUGUGUAAAGCUCCUUCGACGAGUCGAGUAGUUUGGGAAUGCUGCUCAAAAUGGGAGGUAAAUUUCUUCUAAAGCUAAAUACCGGCCAGAGACCGAUAGCGCACAAGUAGAGUGAUCGAAAGAUGAAAAGCACUUUGAAAAGAGGGUUAAACAGCACGUGAAAUUGUUGAAAGGGAAGCGCUUGUGACCAGACUUGCGCCAGGCUGAUCAUCCGGUGUUCUCACCGGUGCACUCGGCCCGGCACAGGCCAGCAUCGGUUCUCGCGGGGGGAUAAAGGUCUCGGGAACGUAGCUCCUCCGGGAGUGUUAUAGCCCGGGGCGUAAUGCCCUCGCGGGGACCGAGGUUCGCGCAUCUGCAAGGAUGCUGGCGUAAUGGUCAUCAGCGACCCGUCUUGAAACACGGACCAAGGAGUCAAGGUUUUGCGCGAGUGUUUGGGUGUCAAACCCGCACGCGUAAUGAAAGUGAACGUAGGUGAGAGCUUCGGCGCAUCAUCGACCGAUCCUGAUGUUUUCGGAUGGAUUUGAGUAAGAGCGUU
RNAcentral lists this small RNA (1143 nucleotides) under Chaetomium sp. TK04. RNAcentral's name for it is "eukaryotic LSU rRNA". The stretch from base 400 to 1143 matches the Rfam family "Eukaryotic large subunit ribosomal RNA", at positions 1 to 804 of the family's 3401-position model. Lineage: Eukaryota; Fungi; Ascomycota; Sordariomycetes; Sordariales; Chaetomiaceae. The record is from RNAcentral.